ACUCAAAUGAAUUGACGGGGACCUGCACAAGCGGUGGAGCGCGUGGUUUAAUUCGUCACAAAGCGUAGAACCUUACCAAGGCUUGACAUCCCGAGAAGUCCCUGGAAACAGGGAUGUGCCGCAAGGAACUCGGUGACAGGUGCUGCACGGUCGUCGUCAGCUCGUGCUGUGAAGUGUCCCGUUCAGUCGGUUAACGAGCGCAACCCUUAUCCUGUGUUAUAUUUGUCACAGGAAACUGCCCCAGUUAAUGGGGAGGAAGGUGAGGAUGACGUCAGAUCAGCGUGGCUCUUACGCCUUGGGCCACACACACGCUACAAUGGGAAGGACAAUGGGUCGCCAAACCGUGAGGUGGAGCUAAUCCCACCAAACCUUCCCCCAAUUCGGAUUGCAGGCUGCAACUCGCCUGCAUGAAGUCGGAAUCGCUAGUAACGGCCAAUCAGCUACGUGGCCGUGAAUACGUUCUCAGGUCUUGUACACACCGCCCGU
This 486-nucleotide ribosomal RNA is filed under the name uncultured bacterium. RNAcentral describes it as "partial 16S ribosomal RNA". It matches the Rfam family "Bacterial small subunit ribosomal RNA", at positions 899 to 1397 of the family's 1533-position model. The record is from RNAcentral.